RNAcentral lists this ribosomal RNA (470 nucleotides) under uncultured bacterium. Its description in RNAcentral is "partial 16S ribosomal RNA". It matches the Rfam family "Bacterial small subunit ribosomal RNA", at positions 28 to 507 of the family's 1533-position model. The record is from RNAcentral.
GACGAACGCUGGCGGCGUGCUUAACACAUGCAAGUCGAACGCUGAAGCACCAGCUUGCUGGUGUGGAUGAGUGGCGAACGGGUGAGUAAUACGUGAGUAACCUGCCCUUGACUCUGGGAUAAGCCCGGGAAACUGGGUCUAAUACUGGAUGCUACAUGUCACCGCAUGGUGGUGUGUGGAAAGGGUUUACUGGUCUUGGAUGGGCUCACGGCCUAUCAGCUUGUUGGUGAGGUAAUGGCUCACCAAGGCGACGACGGGUAGCCGGCCUGAGAGGGUGACCGGCCACACUGGGACUGAGACACGGCCCAGACUCCUACGGGAGGCAGCAGUGGGGAAUAUUGCACAACGGGCGAAAGCCUGAUGCAGCGACGCCGCGUGGGGGAUGACGGACUUCGGGUUGUAAACCUCUUUCAGCAGGGAAGAAGCCACAAGUGACGGUACCUGCAGAAGAAGCGCCGGCUAACUACGUG